AGUGAUGUUUUUACACCCCUUUGUAGGAUCAUGCUCAGUCAAGUUGCAUAAGGGAAAACAAGGGAUUUUGCAAGGUCCUUGUGAUAUUCGACUUGCUUGUGUGUUUAUGCGUCAGUGAAUUCCUGGAUCAGAGUGACUUUUCAUUAAGAGACUGCAGAAAUCUCUCUGUCUUAAGUGUCUUCAGGUGGCGCUUGUCUGAUCAUCAAUGCUUGAAAAGGGUGAGAAAUCUCAGAAGUCUGAUGGAAGUGAGCGCUUUAAGACAACCUGCUUCUAUCUGAUGUGGAGUUUGCUCUGGCUGUUCAUACUGGUCCUUUUUGCCUGGCCUUUAAGCAUGGCCUUGGCAGGCCUUUAUGGAUUUGUCUCCCCUUUCAUUACGUUGGUGGGACUUGAUGACGUUAGCGACGCCCUGCUGCAAGGAGUAAAUGUGGGGAGAGAGUGUGCUCAGAACGUCAGAAACGGCAAGCCCAUGUGUUGAAGAUGGCGCUGUGUCUGGCAAGGAUUCUGCUGCUCACUCCAUCAAAUGUCACACCAUCGUGUUCAUCAAAUGUCACACCAUUGUGAAUUUCUCGUUUUUACACGGUGAAUUAAAGAGCUUUUAUUUCAAUGUAAAAGGUAUUUGGCAAUUUCCACCCCCCCACACACACACACUUAAUAAUCUAUGAAGGACACUGAUUUAAUAUGACUGUUUUAUAAGCUUACAGUGGAGGUUGUGAUCUUUCAUAUCUACACAAUGAGUUAUGAUGACUAACUUAUCUCUGGAAAUACAACAUUCUGAAAUAUUGCCUGGGAUUGAGGACAGGGCCAGGACACUGUGGCCAGUCUGUGCUUUGAUUGUGUUCCUAUGGACUGGGGAAUGGAUUGUUCUCACCAGAAACUAAGCAGUCUCCAUCCAACUGAAACUGCUUGUGCUCAUUAGCUGGUGAGAAGAUGUGAUCAGAUGUUUCUCCCUGGGUAACUGAUUAGAGUCCCCACUGGUGGCCAGAGGGAGAGGACAGACCGCAUAGGCAAGCAGGCAGCCAGUGACAACACAUAAUCCAGGAGGCAAUCUCUGCAGCACAGGCAGAGUUCAAGUUUUGCAAGUUCAGUUUCACCAAUUUUGAGAGAGAUCAGUGUAGGUUCCUCCAGGCAGAACAUUAUGCUCCACUGUCAAUUGGAUCUGGCUGUACUUCAUGUGUAUGCCUCCUUUCAAUUGUCCACAGCCUCCUUUGUGUCAACAGCAGAACCCCCAGAACAAGAACAUAUCCAGAUUUGCUCCCCAACAGCACAAUAUGCAGAACUUCCCUGUGUUUUUUCCUCCCUGUGAAUAAUUGACUUGGAGAGAGAGGGUUUUUGUGAGACCAACAUUCUUUCUCUGUUUUCCCUGCAACGAAUUUAUAUCACCAUUGCUAUUUGUUAAGACAGGAAUAUAGAAUUAUGAAGACCAAGUGUGUCCCGUGGCUUCUGAUGCACAGCCUGGUUCUGAAGGAGCAUAGAGAGGCCACCCAUGCUGCAGCUGGAGCCGCCUGAGGAAUUCUUGCUGACUCACCCAGAAUUCCUCCAGAGGAUCUAAGGGACUACAAAAGCACUGCCACCAUUUGAAAGGAUGUAGUAUAUGUAGUCUCAUCGUGCCUGUCCUCUACUGGUCCGUCGGUGUAGUUUGGAGCCUAAGAGCCACCCUCAGCCCUCGCUGCACCCAUUGGGGAAGACAGCAUUGCUGGGGACCCAGCUCAGUGCCUGCACUCUCUGUGACUAUAUUGUGGCUGAUUAUAUUGCAAACAUAAUUUGGGCUUCCUGAUUUACUAACUUUCCUUGUGCUCCUAGGACCAUAUUUCCUCACAUUUUAAAGGGCAGUAUGUUACAUUUGUUGCUUCCGUAUGUAGCACUAUGCUAAGUAUCUGAAUCCAAGACAUUCUGGGCUGGGGGAUAACGGGCUAUGGGGGGGCUCUGAAGAGGGCAAAUGUAACUGGGUAGCUUUAUUGUCAAGUACAGCUUUGUAAAAUACAGGAGUUAGAUUUUCUUUGUUGAAACAACAUUUUAGUUUUUUCUCAUGAAUUUUUCUUAGAAAUAUUAUAAUAAGCUCUCAGAAUUAACCCAUUUUUCUGAUUGCAACUGAUGGCAGAGCACAGCUGUUUUAUCGAUGAAAAUAUUCCCUCAUUGGAAGAAUAGUGAACCUAUUUCACUAUUUAAAUUUUUUUCACUAACAUAACCUCAUAUUUACCAUGGUCUGACAUCUUUGCCAUUUUAGGUAGGCAUGUCUGACCUUUGAAUAGAUACAUAUGUUUUCAUUUCUAACUCUCUUUAUCAGAAGCUCUCUGGGUUUUUCGCAUGUCUUGAAUACUUGCCUAUGUUUGAUCUGUGUUGCCAAGUUUGGGACUGCUUCAGUCUGGGGCUGGGCCAUCCACAGAAAGCAUUUUAGUGCAUACAAAAAAUCCUAACUAUGCCUAAAGACUUUUCUGAAUGGAAAAGCAUAUUGCCAGCAUCCACCAUUCUCGCUUCAUCCUCACAUUUAACAGCUUUAAUCCAAACACUAACUUAAAGUUUGACCCUUGCACAAUUAAGAAGUACUUAACUGUACUUUAGCUAUAUUUAUUUUUAGAUGUGGCUGAAUUUUAACAACUAGCUAGCCCAGUUACAGUACAAAAGCAAUUCACUGACUGAAAAUGUGUUUUUUAUGGGAAGCAUGUUUUUAUGCAGACAAAAUCUGCUUUAUUCACACAGGUAUAAAUCUGGAAUAAUUUCAUUGUCUUCUGUGGCAUCAUACCAGUGUAAAACAGAUUCUGUACUGUGAUUAGUAAAUGUUAGUCAAAAAUAAACUAAAAUAUCCAGGUAUUUUCACAUAGAUCCAUACAUGAAUAGAAAUGCUACAUUUGCUGAUAGAUUAUGAUAAUAUUAAACCUACCCAAUUAUGUUCAUUCAUGCUGUUCAAAGAAAUGCCAGUGAUCUUUCAAUAGCUGAGAUUAUGGUGUGAUAGUACAUUGCCAUUUUAUUUUAUACAGUGCCUUUCUUAUAUGCGAUCUUAAAAUGCUUCAUACAGUGAAAUGAAGUAACACCUGGCAUAAAUCUUUUAGGCCUUGUCUACUCUUGCAGUGGUGCAUAGGAUACCUGUAGCUACAUGUGGCAGUGA
Long non-coding RNA from Mauremys mutica (yellowpond turtle), 3103 nucleotides. RefSeq lists it as uncharacterized. The record is from RefSeq and is a predicted model, not a curated record. The transcript is spliced from 3 exons. NCBI's taxonomy places the organism in Eukaryota, Metazoa, Chordata, Testudines, Geoemydidae.